This 369-nucleotide ribosomal RNA is filed under the name uncultured bacterium. RNAcentral describes it as "bacterial SSU rRNA". It matches the Rfam family "Bacterial small subunit ribosomal RNA", at positions 525 to 896 of the family's 1533-position model. The record is from RNAcentral.
ACGAAGGUGGCAAGCGUUGUUCGGAUUCACUGGGCGUACAGGGUGUGUAGGCGGUUUGGUAAGCCUUCUGUUAAAGCUUCGGGCCCAACCCGGAAAGCGCAGAGGGUACUGCCAGGCUAGAGGGUGGGAGAGGAGCGCGGAAUUCCCGGUGUAGCGGUGAAAUGCGUAGAGAUCGGGAGGAAGGCCGGUGGCGAAGGCGGCGCUCUGGAACAUACCUGACGCUGAGACACGAAAGCGUGGGGAGCAAACAGGAUUAGAUACCCUGGUAGUCCACGCCCUAAACUAUGGAUACUAAGUGUCGGCGGGUUACCGCCGGUGCCGCAGCUAACGCAUUAAGUAUCCCGCCUGGGAAGUACGGCCGCAAGGUUG